AGCGGUGGAUCACUCCUUACCUGAAGAACCUGCCUUUGUAGUGUCCACACAGAUUGUCUGAUGAAAAAUAAGCAGUAAAAAAUCUCUGCAGGCUUGUAGCUCAGGUGGUUAGAGCGCACCCCUGAUAAGGGUGAGGUCGGUGGUUCAAGUCCACUCAGGCCUACCAAAUUUCUGCUGAUGCUGCGUUGCGGCGACACUCACAUACUGUAAGUAUGCUUCGUGUCACCACGCCUUGCUUCAACAGAAAUUAAGGUUGAUGAGAUUUCACUACGAUGGGGCUAUAGCUCAGCUGGGAGAGCGCCUGCUUUGCACGCAGGAGGUCUGCGGUUCGAUCCCGCAUAGCUCCACCAUCUUUUCCGGCCCCCCCCAAGAAACUCCAAGGGCCCCAAAAGGGUCCCCGGGAAAUUUUUUUAAAAACUGGCAGUUAAAAAUGGAACCACCCCCCGCUUAUGGGGGGUCCAAUUCCCAAUUUUUGCCACGACAUCAAGGUUCCCCAAACCUCUUCCGGUGGGAGGGUAACCACUUAACCUACCCCGGGGACCCUGGA
RNAcentral lists this unclassified non-coding RNA (547 nucleotides) under Pectobacterium carotovorum. Its description in RNAcentral is "partial contains 16S ribosomal RNA, 16S-23S ribosomal RNA intergenic spacer, and 23S ribosomal RNA; also contains tRNA-Ile and tRNA-Ala genes". The stretch from base 90 to 163 matches the Rfam family "tRNA". The record is from RNAcentral. Lineage: Bacteria; Pseudomonadati; Pseudomonadota; Gammaproteobacteria; Enterobacterales; Pectobacteriaceae.